This 497-nucleotide ribosomal RNA is filed under the name uncultured bacterium. Its description in RNAcentral is "partial 16S ribosomal RNA". It matches the Rfam family "Bacterial small subunit ribosomal RNA", at positions 28 to 507 of the family's 1533-position model. The record is from RNAcentral.
GAUGAACGCUGGCGGCGUGCCUAAUACAUGCCAGUCGAGCGAACAGACGAGGAGCUUGCUCCUCUGACGUUAGCGGCGGACGGGUGAGUAACACGUGGAUAACCUACCUAUAAGACUGGGAUAACUUCGGGAAACCGGAGCUAAUACCGGAUAAUAUAUUGAACCGCAUGGUUCAAUAGUGAAAGACGGUUUUGCUGUCACUUAUAGAUGGAUCCGCGCCGCAUUAGCUAGUUGGUAAGGUAACGGCUUACCAAGGCAACGAUGCGUAGCCGACCUGAGAGAGUGAUCGGCCACACGGGAGCGGAGACACGGUCCAGACUCCUAAGGGAGGCAGCAGUAGGGAAUCUUCCGCAAUGGGCGAAAGCCUGACGGAGCAACGCCGCGUGAGUGAUGAAGGUCUUCGGAGCGUAAAACUCUGUUAUUAGGGAAGAACAAAUGUGUAAGUAACUAUGCACGUCUUGACGGUACCUAAUCAGAAAGCCACGGCUAACUACGUG